CAACCUACCUUUUACAAAGGGAUAGCCCAUGGAAACGUGGAUUAAUACCUUAUAGUACUAUAAAUCUGCAUAGAUUAAUAGUUAAAACUACGGUGGUAAAAGAUGGGCAUGCGUCUGAUUAGCUAGAUGGUGAGGUAAUGGCUCACCAUGGCGACGAUCAGUAGGGGUUCUGAGAGGAUUAUCCCCCACACUGGUACUGAGACACGGACCAGACUCCUACGGGAGGCAGCAGUGAGGAAUAUUGGUCAAUGGGCGCGAGCCUGAACCAGCCAUCCCGCGUGCAGGAUGACGGCCCUAUGGGUUGUAAACUGCUUUUCUAUGCCAAGAAACCUUACUACGUGUAGUAAGUUGACGGUAGCAUAAGAAUAAGGACCGGCUAACUCCGUGCCAGCAGCCGCGGUAAUACGGAGGGUCCAAGCGUUAUCCGGAUUCAUUGGGUUUAAAGGGUGCGCAGGCGGGCUUGUAAGUCAGUGGUGAAAUACUGCCGCUUAACGGUAGAACUGCCAUUGAUACUGCAAGUCUUGAAUAUGGUUGAGGUAGGCGGAAUGUGUUGUGUAGCGGUGA
RNAcentral lists this ribosomal RNA (564 nucleotides) under uncultured bacterium. RNAcentral's name for it is "bacterial SSU rRNA". It matches the Rfam family "Bacterial small subunit ribosomal RNA", at positions 122 to 684 of the family's 1533-position model. The record is from RNAcentral.